AUUGAACGCUGGCGGCAUGCCUUACACAUGCAAGUCGAACGGCAGCACGGGAGCAAUCCUGGUGGCGAGUGGCGAACGGGUGAGUAAUAUAUCGGAACGUGCCCAGUAGUGGGGGAUAGCCCGGCGAAAGACCGGAUUAAUACCGCAUACGACCUGUGGGUGGAAAGCGGGGGAGUCGCAAGACCUCGCGCUAUUGGAGCGGCCGAUAUCAGAUUAGCUAGUUGGUGGGGUAAAGGCCUACCAAGGCGACGAUCUGUAGCUGGUCUGAGAGGACGACCAGCCACACUGGGACUGAGACACGGCCCAGACUCCUACGGGAGGCAGCA
This 326-nucleotide ribosomal RNA is filed under the name uncultured bacterium. RNAcentral's name for it is "bacterial SSU rRNA". It matches the Rfam family "Bacterial small subunit ribosomal RNA", at positions 29 to 353 of the family's 1533-position model. The record is from RNAcentral.